This 203-nucleotide ribosomal RNA is filed under the name uncultured bacterium. RNAcentral's name for it is "partial 16S ribosomal RNA". It matches the Rfam family "Bacterial small subunit ribosomal RNA", at positions 524 to 722 of the family's 1533-position model. The record is from RNAcentral.
UACGGAGGGAGCUAGCGUUGUUCGGAAUUACUGGGCGUAAAUGCGCACGUAGGCGGCUUUUUAAGUCAGGGGUGAAAUCCCGGGGCUCAACCCCGGAACUGCCCCUUGAAACUGGAGAGCUAGAAUCUUGGAGAGGCGAGUGGAAUUCCGAGUGUCAGAGGUGAAAUUCGUAGAUAUUCGGAAGAACACCAGUGGCGAACGGC